AUGAGUAAAAACUCCUCCAUCACUCUGACCUUUGGCACCUUGUAUCCCAGAUUCUAUUGUGAUUGUAAGAAUAAUCAUCUCUCCACUGUGUGUCACAGGGUCUGGAUCAAUGUCUCUCCUGGAAAUCAAGCUAGCAGGGACUCAUCUCUCCACGUUUCAUUACAGUGUUCAUCUUCAAUACAGAAGAAACGCAGUCUGACGAAACUAGAGCUUCCACAAGGCGCGAAAAUUGAAAAGCAACAUGGACUGCGAUAGGACAAUGAAGAUUCCUGCUAGGAAGAAGUCCUUGGCCUCCCGCUCUAUAAAUACCCCAGCACUUCCUCUUCGCUCUCUCGCUGUCUUCCUGCCUCCUGCUCACCUCCCUACAAUAAAGAUCUCCUGCCAGACCUCUCGGUGCGUGAGUGGCCUAAUUGGGAUGGGGCACCCGAAGGGGCAUGCGACCCCCCUUUCAAGAUCAUUUUAGAAAAAUACCAGGACAUAGAAGAUAACAGGAAAAAAUCUAGAUGACCUGGAGUUUGGCAAUGACUUUUUAGAUACAAUACCAU
RNAcentral lists this long non-coding RNA (545 nucleotides) under Fukomys damarensis (Damara mole-rat). RNAcentral's name for it is "lncRNA (ENSFDAG00000025451.1)". Lineage: Eukaryota; Metazoa; Chordata; Mammalia; Rodentia; Bathyergidae. The record is from RNAcentral.